GCAUCAGUGGUUUAGUGGUAAAAUUCGUCGUUGCCAUCUUCCGAACUCGACGAGCCGGGGGUUCGAUUCCCCCCUGAUGCA
Non-coding RNA from Xylariomycetidae sp. FL2044, 81 nucleotides. The record is from the annotation of a GenBank genome assembly. Lineage: Eukaryota; Fungi; Ascomycota; Sordariomycetes.